This is a small nucleolar RNA of Ornithorhynchus anatinus (platypus), 138 nucleotides long. NCBI's taxonomy places the organism in Eukaryota, Metazoa, Chordata, Mammalia, Monotremata, Ornithorhynchidae. The record is from RefSeq and is a predicted model, not a curated record.
CCUCUCUCAGGGUGGCACCUGGAGAGUUUGUGGUACUCUACCAGUCUCGAUUACGAGAGGGAGAGUCAAGCAGAGGCCUACCUAUUCCAUUCCCAGCUUGGGUGGUGGCUAGUGAGUGGCAGACAAUCUGCUACAAGU